CACCAGACUCCUACGGGAGGCAGCAGUGGGGAGUAUUGCACAAUGGGGGAAACCCUGAUGCAGCGACGCCGCGUGAGCGAUGAAGUAUUUCGGUAUGUAAAGCUCUAUCAGCAGGGAAGAAAAUGACGGUACCUGACUAAGAAGCCCUGGCUAACUACGUGCCAGCAGCCGCGGUAAUACGUAGGGGGCAAGCGUUAUCCGGAUUUACUGGGUGUAAAGGGAGCGUAGACGGUCCUGCAAGCCAGAUGUGAAAGCCCGGGGCCCAACCCCGGGACUGCCCUUGGAACUGCAUGGCUGGAGUGCGGGAGGGGCAGGCGGAAUUCCUGGUGUAGCGGUGAAAUGCGUAGAUAUCAGGAGGAACACCGGCGGCGAAGGCGGCCUGCUGGACCGCGACUGACGUUGAGGCCCGAAAGCGUGGGGAGCAAACAGGAUUAGAUACCCGGGUA
RNAcentral lists this ribosomal RNA (446 nucleotides) under uncultured bacterium. RNAcentral describes it as "bacterial SSU rRNA". It matches the Rfam family "Bacterial small subunit ribosomal RNA", at positions 329 to 792 of the family's 1533-position model. The record is from RNAcentral.